GGAUUAGUUCACAAGAAGCCACCUGAGUACAUGACUCAUUCCUCAUUCCAGACAGCCUCUCCUGGGAAAGCAAGCAGCAGAGAGCCAUCCACAACAUUUCCCCCUUUCUGUUCUAAUAAAAAAAAAAAAAAAAAAAAAAAAAAAAAAAAAACCUUUCUCUCAAUAUAGAGCACAACUAUUACCAUUUUGUAAUUUAUAAGGUAUAAGAUAGACCUAACUCCCAGUCCAUCAACUUUGUCAUUAAGAUGGAACAUUGUCAUCUAUCCUAAAUUAAAAGACUUAUCAUUCUACACCUGACUCAUUUCCUGGCUUUAGAUCAUAUGCCAUCUGAAAACCAUCUUCUCAAAUCUGUUCUCUCAGUGUAAAUACCCUGGGUUGGCUAUGAGACUAUAAGUGGUUUUUAAAGCACAUCAGAAAUCUGAGAAUGACCAACAUUAACUGAAAAUAUAUAGGAAGCCUAACACAGCUUCCAGAACUGAGACAAAUUGUAGAGACAGCUGCCUACCUAUACAGCCCCAGGAAGUCAGGAAGAUGGAGUAUGUCUUCAGCCUUCUGGCCCAGGAUCAUCUGACAGACCCAGAGAAACAGGAUAUUAAGGACUAGCCUACUCUGUCUCAGAAUCAAGCUGUCCUAAACCUGUAAUUUCGUCCUUUCUUUGGACAGCAUUAUGUCUGUAGAUGAAAAGAGGCAAUUCUUGCAUAAUUGCUGUCUCACCACAACUGGAGUAACUCAUAGAUGCUCAGUUUCUUCUUUGAAUCCAAGACAGGGAAAGCUGUCAGGAGCAGACUAGUCUCAACAGCAAGUGAAUAAAUAACACUAAAUGUCACAUUCUGUGAAUUUCUGACUUUUUGAAAACCAACUAUCAAUAUAAAGUAAUCUGGACUGUUCUCCGUUAACUACUCUCAACUAUUUCUAAUUACAGCCUCUGAAAACACCCUAACAAUAAACUCAGAGCCAUGAAUUUGCUUUUUGGACCUUAACUCACAGGCUUCUAUAUAUUUUGUACCAAUGAAAACCUUGAUUUUGCAUCAAAAUAAAUUCUAUACCAAAAUAAGAAAUUAUGACUUCAGCUUAGUAACAAUUAAAAAGAUUUCUACCAAAUGAGAUUAUGGCUAUGCAAUCAAUUUCAGCUAUUCCUCCCUAUUCCAAUUAUGACCAUUUCUACAUUCCCUAGAAAGACAACCUAUAAUAACCCCCUCCAGCCCCAAAGCCAAGGGAAUUGGGGCGACGACUCUUCAUAACUUCUUCAAGCUGAAUAUAGGUGUUGAGAUAUUUUGAAUUGUGGGGGAGGGUUAGGGGAAAUAGGGGAGUUAUUUGGCCUUAAGAAGGCCACAACAAUGAUGGAUUUAGUCUCUGAUGCUUGUGUCCUGACUAGAUCUGGCUGAAGUCCAAGGCAUCAGGAGUUCAAGUAGGUCAGUUCAAGCAUGUCUGAUGAUGAAAUUCACCAAGGCUGUAUAUUCUAUAAUAUACAAAUCUCAAAGCAAAAUUUUAGUAUCAUCAAGAUAACCUUUUUGUUUGAUUCUCUGGAAUCUACUUCAGGGGAUCUCCCUCUAUCAAAUCUGAUUCAUAUAACUCUGGAAUGUGUAAACACCUUAAUCACCUUUUCCAAAAACACAAAGACAAAACCUUUUUCCCAAAUCAGCAUAUCUUUGAGCCCAUAACCAGAAAAACCUUUAUUUUGACCUCUCUCCCAGAGGAAUAAUAUAACCAUGAAACUCGACAUCACACCCAUUUUGAAAAUCAAAACAAUCUAAAACAGAUGAAGAAAGAAAUUUAAACUAAGAUACUGUAUGUGCCUAUACUAGGCCUUUCCUAUCUUGCAAAGG
Molecule: long non-coding RNA, 1826 nt
Filed under: Mus musculus (house mouse)
Lineage: Eukaryota; Metazoa; Chordata; Mammalia; Rodentia; Muridae
Description: long non-coding RNA chr5:150491869-150493695
Source: RNAcentral